UGCCGUGCAAUCCCCCUCUGCCUGCCCUGCCACUGUUAAUGGAGCCAGGGGGUGCCCACCCUAUGUCCGGAGUGGCGAGCGGCAAGGCAGGCAGAGGGGGAUCGCAUGGCG
Molecule: non-coding RNA, 111 nt
Organism: Podarcis lilfordi (Lilford's wall lizard)
Lineage: Eukaryota; Metazoa; Chordata; Lepidosauria; Squamata; Lacertidae
Source: the annotation of a GenBank genome assembly